Molecule: ribosomal RNA, 210 nt
Filed under: Triticum aestivum (bread wheat)
Lineage: Eukaryota; Viridiplantae; Streptophyta; Magnoliopsida; Poales; Poaceae
Description: partial small subunit ribosomal RNA
Source: RNAcentral
AUGUCAAUGCCAAUUGAAUCAAUGUUAUUAGCUGUCAAUUUGUUUUUGGUAUUUUUCGUUUCUUUGGAUGAUAUGAUGGGUCAAUCAUUUGCUUCAUUAGUUCCAACAGUGGCAGCUGCGGAAUCUGCUAUUGGAUUAGCUAUUUUCGUUAUUACUUUUCGAGUCCGAGGGACUACUAUUGUCGAAUCUAUAAAUUGCAUUCAAGGUUAA